Small nucleolar RNA from Dendrobium catenatum, 163 nucleotides. RefSeq annotates it as small nucleolar RNA snoR143. The record is from RefSeq and is a predicted model, not a curated record. NCBI's taxonomy places the organism in Eukaryota, Viridiplantae, Streptophyta, Magnoliopsida, Asparagales, Orchidaceae. The transcript has a single exon.
CUGCACCUUGUGUCUGAUGGGUCCUCUGAUUUUUAUGGUGAGACCUCUAGUUCUGGUGCAUAAAGGAAAUGCUAUUUUUAUAGCAACGGCCAGACAACCGUAGAGAUGAAUCCACAGACAAAUGGUUUUUGUAUAAUUUGUCUACUGAUUUCAUCUCAAAUUC